RNAcentral lists this small RNA (125 nucleotides) under Marmota monax (woodchuck). Lineage: Eukaryota; Metazoa; Chordata; Mammalia; Rodentia; Sciuridae. The record is from RNAcentral.
GCCAGGCAUGGUGGCACACGCCUGUAAUCCCAGAGACUUGGGAGGCUGAGACAGGAGGAUCUCGAGUUCAAAGCCAAUCUCAGCAAAGGAGUGGCGCUAAGCAACUCAGUGAGACCCUGUCUCUA